This 253-nucleotide ribosomal RNA is filed under the name uncultured bacterium. RNAcentral describes it as "partial 16S ribosomal RNA". It matches the Rfam family "Bacterial small subunit ribosomal RNA", at positions 524 to 776 of the family's 1533-position model. The record is from RNAcentral.
UACGUAGGGUGCAAGCGUUAAUCGGAAUUACUGGGCGUAAAGUGUGCGCAGGCGGCCAUGCAAGUCGAGUGUGAAAGCCCCGGGCUUAACUUGGGAAUUGCGCUCGAAACUACGUGGCUGGAGUGUGGCAGAGGAAGGUGGAAUUCCACGUGUAGCGGUGAAAUGCGUAGAGAUGUGGAGGAACACCAAUGGCGAAGGCAGCCUUCUGGGCCAACACUGACGCUCAUGCACGAAAGCGUGGGGAGCAAACAGG